Molecule: non-coding RNA, 3184 nt
Organism: Anas platyrhynchos (mallard)
Lineage: Eukaryota; Metazoa; Chordata; Aves; Anseriformes; Anatidae
Source: RefSeq, a predicted model, not a curated record
AGGUUCUGCUUCCCCACCUUCCUCCCCUAGAGUUUCAUAUCCCUGGCUGAGAGGAUUAUAGCUCUCUAGGAAAGCACUUCAGUGGUCUGGCAUUUUUGGUCCUUCUUCCCUGCAAAGCCUGCUUGCUGCUCUUCCGUAAGGGGCUGGGGGGAGGAGGGUAAACUUCUGCAAUUAGCUGAUCCUGCACUGAUGAGCUUGGUAACAUUUUGUUCUCAUCUUGGGCAUGGGGUGCCUUUACAGAACUGGUCCAUAAUCAUCACUUGACAUCCCUCAAUACUAGGGAGCAGCCAGCCAGCUGCAGGCUGGACCCUGGUGUGCUGCCAAUCUGGUCUGCAAGGUCAGCAUUGUCUGAAUGGGUUCAAUACAUAGUUGUAGAGGAAAAACAAAUAAGUGCCUUAAAAGCAAUUGUGUCAGUCUGUGUGGGAUUUCCCUCUCUGAAGUAUAAAUGCCAGCAAAAUUCCCGUCUGUGUGUAAAUUUGAGCUAGUCACUCCAAGCUCUCUUUGUAGUCCUAGAGGAGAAAAUGGCACUUCAGUGGUGUGAUUGCUGACCUGGGUUCCCCCAGGCUUCCCACUGACUGUUUUGGCAGAUAGCUGGUCAGCAGAAAGGCAUCGGUCUCUCAGGGAGCUCAGGUGUUGAUAUCUCCAGCCAGGACCUGGGUUAUUGCUCACCUUUGUAGUUCUGGUUAAUUCGUCCUCACCUCUCCACCAGCCCUGCUUCAGCAGUAGCUUUGCAGUAGAACUGGAAAUUACAGGUGUACAUAGCCAUGGGGUGGCUUACCUCCAGCAGCAAGAAAAAUGCUCAGCUCAACAUAAGCACAUGGGGGAUCUAAUCCCUGCAGCAGAACAAGGCUACAAGAGGCUUGUUUAGAAGACUCCUGCAGAAGAUAAAAAGUUUUCAGUACAAAUAUUCCUGCUUUUCUCCCAUUGUCUUCCUUCUCCAACUGAUUCUCAUUAAGAAAAAACAUAGAUACGUAUAUACUCCUGAAUCAUCUACCUGUCCCAGAUUUCUUGGAUGUAAAUGGAACAUAAUGAACAGAACUUGCUUCAAAAAAGUUACCGUUUUUUAAAGAGUGUGAGAAAGGAAAUGUCAAGUCUAGGUUUACAUAGGAAUUCUUCUGCAAAGCUGUGAUUAAUACAAACAUUUCCUGAGUCAUUCUCUAAUGCCUCCUCUUUUUCUAAGUACUGUAAUCUAAAUGAGAAAGCAAACAAAUAGAACAAGGCCAAUUGUUGCAACUCCCAGAAAUUCACAAUGGAGAGUUAAACCCUAGUGGUGGGGUUGAAGGGAGGUAAUUAAAACAGUUUGGAAAUCUUAAUAGAUUGACAGAAAAGCCCCCAUUUUUCUGUCUAUAGAUAAUUUCAAUUGCCAAAGUACUUGCAGAUGGCUUUCAGCCUAGAUAUUUUCAGCUGGGAGGAUCUUCAGCAGCACAAUGAGCUCUGUGAAUGCUGACCCUUAGUAAGUAUCUAAACUAAUCUUCAUUUAAAAUAUCUGGGGAAUCAGGAAACAACUGACUCUUACCCGAGCUUUCCUCAGAUGCGUUUUGCAAAAGGCUCCCAGUAGACAGAGUAGAGCUGCUCACAAAGACGUCAGUAAUCUUUCCAACCUCAUCUGUUCUUGUACAGACUUGUAUUAAAAAUGAAAGAGCCCUGGUGAAAUUAAUGCAAAAUACAGUUGGGAAGAUAAUGAAAACUCUUUUCUGACAGACUUUAGACUGCUGCAAGCAUCCCUCACUUGCCUAUUCCAAAAAGGGUAUAACAGUACUUUUUAGUGUUUUGUUAUAUUUGAAGGAGAAACACACACAUUUUCUACUUUUUUUUUUUUUUCCCUCCAUUUUUUAGUAACCUAAAAUGCAAAUUGGAUGAGGACAACAUAUAAUGUCCUCGCUUAUGAUUUUUUUUUUCUUCUGCAGAAAAGAUGUGUUCCGUAUUUUAAUAGCACCAUCUGUCACAGUAGCAAGUGCCAAGCUGCAAUAUUGAUCUUGUCACUUUGGGGAAUAGUAUGAUAUUUAGGAUUAUAAAUAACAUUUUUCUUUGCUCUGUUCAUGUGUUUAGUUUUUAUGUAGAACCCAAACUCAAGAAACUACUCUUAUCACCUAAUAAGUACUUUCCUAGAAUCCAUAACAGAGGUCUCAUUAGGACCUGAAGAGCAGUAUUUGUGUUGUUAGCUGUCGUGCCUUAGUAAUGUGAAUAAUUUAAUCGGUCUAUGCAAUUUAUGUAGUGACAACUAUAGCCACAACUACACAAAUUUAAUAGCUUCUAGUGCCCAUAAGUCAUCACUGGGCACUAGUUUUCUCUCUUUAAAAAAGAGGUGAUUAUGCUGAGAUUUUAAAUGAAGAGCACUCAAACUGAAGUUACAAAGAAAGCAAGUGCUGCAUUUCUUGUUAUUUUCCAUGUUAAACAGAAGCUCCCUGGGUGUUUAAAGGCUCUGUCCCUUUUGUAUAAACUGGAUAUUGUGUUAAGUCUUUAUUUAGGCUGCCUUGGAAAAGAGAAGAUGCAGUGUGUGACUCAUUUGUGUUCCAGGCUCUCUAGAGAGACCAGAGUGUUAAGAUCAGGUAGAAGUUAUCGUGAACCUGGAAAGGUUUCAGUGUGUUGCACUGCUAUAUUCAGAGACUUCUGCCAGCACAUUGCUGCUGAGGAGGAGACAGUUAUCCCAAUAACGUAAAAAAAAUUGUGUCUGUCUUUCCAUUUGCGUUUCUUCACCUAGAUGUAUUUUUCAGCACAAUGGGCAAAAACGAUGCUCUUAGGAGGUUGAUGGCAAAGCUGCUGGACAGGUGAAAGAAGUAAUGAAAUUUUUUAAGUGACAAUGAUAUUUUACAAGAUUUUCAGGGUUGAAUACUUCUCUGUCGGACGUGAUUGGCAUUUUAGUGACAUGGCAGCAUAUUAUUUUUUUUUCUUCUUCUACUCCACAGUCUCCUUUGGUUUGGAUAUUACUUAAAUUUUAUGCCUGUUAAAGUAAGUUUUUGCCUGGGAUUUGUAGCGUUAAAGUGUUAGAAUAGAAAUACUUUAAUACUGUUUCUUCUGUUAAGAGUUCUGCUGAGCUCUGUAUAUUUAUCCUCUGCAUGUAAUUUCACUCACAACUUCAAGGCAGCACAUGGAGCUCAUAAGUACUGCAUUUUACAGAUUUUCAGCAGUUGUCAUUAAACGUCUCUCUUGAAAAAAAAUAAAGCUCUUACACAAAACAUCAAAA